GUGAAUAAAAAAGGCUCUAAAAAAAAUCUCACGAGACUCCUAAAACUGAGAGGGACUAAAGUUGGUCAAGAUUAGCCGCACAAAUCUCAAAGGCAUAAAGUGGAUAAGUAAUUAAUACUCGUGGAACUUCACAAAGUAGAAAAUUGGCAAAGUUGAAAAGAAAAACAAGAAGUCUGGAACCCUUAAAAAAGAACGAGUACCAAAUCAA
RNAcentral lists this long non-coding RNA (208 nucleotides) under Brachypodium distachyon (stiff brome). RNAcentral describes it as "long non-coding RNA (BDIS_LNC000437)". The record is from RNAcentral. Lineage: Eukaryota; Viridiplantae; Streptophyta; Magnoliopsida; Poales; Poaceae.